This 641-nucleotide unclassified non-coding RNA is filed under the name Hevea brasiliensis (rubber tree). Lineage: Eukaryota; Viridiplantae; Streptophyta; Magnoliopsida; Malpighiales; Euphorbiaceae. The record is from RNAcentral.
GAUGAGUUAAUUAUUUCUCAAAAAUACAAUUAUAACCUAUUGGGGGUUAUUGUGUACUGCUCCCCUUAGUUGCAAGACUGCAAGUGAUACAACAAUUAACUAAAUGCAAACAAGACACACCCUUGAGCAACUGCCCAGCUUAAAUUGAGGGCAGAGAAGAAUAGAAAGGUAAAGAGAGAGAAAAGAUCAACAUAAUGAGUUAUGGAACAAAACUAGCUGGAACAGCACGACGUUUUUUGCUUUGACAUGUCGGUCCCAUUGGCAAGGCUAACGCGAUUGAAAGAUAAUUCUGCCUUGUAUGAAUCAGAGUUGAGUACUUUUCUGCUCACAUUUUUGUAUAUCUCACGGAUGACAAUUUCAAAGGCUGUUUUCACAUUAGUAGAGUCGAGAGCCGAUGUUUCAAUGAAGAAUAAUCCUUCCUCUUCUGCAAGGUUUUUUCCAUCCUCUACACUCACAUCUCUGAUAUUCUCCAAGUCACACUUGUUCCCAACAAGCAUUCUCGCAACUGUGGUAUCACAGUGGGUGUUGAGUUCAUCAAGCCAUCGUUUGAUAUUUUCGAAAGUAGUGCUUCUACUGAUAUCAUAAACAAUAAGAGCUCCAACAGCGCCUCUAUAAUAAGCAGAAGUGACAGCCCGAAAACG